Toxotes jaculatrix (banded archerfish) is the source of this 638-nucleotide long non-coding RNA. RefSeq lists it as uncharacterized. The transcript has 3 exons. NCBI's taxonomy places the organism in Eukaryota, Metazoa, Chordata, Actinopteri, Toxotidae. The record is from RefSeq and is a predicted model, not a curated record.
AAAUGACUUCCGUAACCUGAGAGAGAAAGAGAGAGAGAGAGAGAGAGAGAGACUGGACUCCUCAGGCUUUUAACUCACCAAGGCGGAUUUUGACUUUCACCUCAAAAAGGUUUUCGAUUAACAGCGCCAAAUGACCGGGUAUUCCUGAAAAGAGGGUAGAACUAUCAUUAAAAGCAAACGAGGAGAGAGCGGGGGAAACGCGGUCAGUCCGGAAUUGCCACCUCCUCCUUCUCGCACUCCCUCUCCUCCUCACCCUUUUUACCCCGCAGCCUCUAAUGCCAUCUGUACUGCCAACGGGGGGACACUUUGCCUGUGCCAGGAGGUGGACAAAGACCCUGCCAGAUCCCUGGAGUAUGGGCGCGCUCAGAGAAGCCAUCUUGGGAGAUGUUGCUGCGACACCUAAAAUGGCAGGGCUGGCAUACGAGGAUGGGACAGGAUCUGUGAGACUCUCUGCACUCUGCAGGAAACUGCUUUGGCACGAGGAGACUGUGGACCAAACCCAACAAAAUAAGACUCUCCAGAAUUUAUGCAUGAACUCAAGAGGUUAUCAUUCAAUCGAACACUGCAGGAAGAAUUCUGUGUAGAAACAAAAGAUAUGAGGUGCAAAUAUGAAAUGUAAAGCUCAUGAUGCCUGCUAU